Molecule: ribosomal RNA, 72 nt
Filed under: Chitinophagaceae bacterium
Lineage: Bacteria; Pseudomonadati; Bacteroidota; Chitinophagia; Chitinophagales; Chitinophagaceae
Description: partial 16S ribosomal RNA
Rfam family: Bacterial small subunit ribosomal RNA
Source: RNAcentral
UUUACAAUGGAGAGUUUGAUCCUGGCUCAGGAUGAACGCUAGCGGCAGGCUUAAUACAUGCAAGUCGAGGGG